This 368-nucleotide ribosomal RNA is filed under the name uncultured phototrophic eukaryote. Its description in RNAcentral is "SSU rRNA". It matches the Rfam family "Bacterial small subunit ribosomal RNA", at positions 524 to 896 of the family's 1533-position model. The record is from RNAcentral.
UACGGGGGAUGCAAGCGUUAUCCGAAAUCAUUGGGCGUAAAGCGCCUGUAGGUUGUUUAUUAAGUCUGUUGUUAAAGCCUAGGGCUUAACCCUAGAACAGCAAUGGAAACUAGUAGACUAGAGUAUGGUAGGGGUAGAGGGAAUUUCUAGUGUAGCGGUGAAAUGCGUAGAUAUUAGAAAGAACACCGGUGGCGAAGGCGCUCUACUGGAUCAUUACUGACACUCAGAGGCGAAAGCUAGGGUAGCAAAAGGGAUUAGAUACCCCUGUAGUCCUAGCCGUAAACGAUGGAUACUAGAUGUUGCGUUUUUAUGCAGUAUCCUAGCUAACGCGUUAAGUAUCCCGCCUGGGGAGUACGCUCGCAAGGGUG